Long non-coding RNA from Polyodon spathula (Mississippi paddlefish), 1536 nucleotides. RefSeq lists it as uncharacterized. The record is from RefSeq and is a predicted model, not a curated record. The transcript is spliced from 6 exons. Lineage: Eukaryota; Metazoa; Chordata; Actinopteri; Acipenseriformes; Polyodontidae.
GAAUGAAGCAGCGUUCCCUUGUUGUGUGUUUGCUUACAGGAGUCGGUGCGAUAUACGUGCAUCUGGAGCCCCUGCAGAGCGGAGGGGGGCAGGAGAGGGGGCUGCGCUCAGGCACCCACGCCUUUAGCAGUCGGCCUCGGAGUGGCCUGUGAAAUGGCACAGCAGGAGAUGAAGUACGAUGAGCACCGAGUGUCUAUGCUGAUAAAAUCGUGGUGGAGCUCCCAGAUGUUAUAGUGAACGGAGAUCCUGAAGAGAGAUAUUCAGGUUGCAUUAAUCUGUUGUUUGCUUACGUGGAGGGGGAAAGUCUGCUGAUGGCCCUGAAGGAUGUUGCCCUGUCGUCAGGCAGUGCCUGCACAUCAGCUUCUUAGAGCCGCCUUAUGUGCUCCGAGCCAUAGGAACAGACAAAGAUCUGGCCCACUUAUCCGUAAGGUUUGACCGCUUCACCACAGAGGAAGAGGUGGAUUAUAUGGCAGAGAAAUGCAUAGUGCAGGUCAGGCUGCUAAGAGAAAUGAGUCCUUUGUGGGAAAUGAUGCAAGAGGGAAUUGACUUGAAGAGUAUUAAAUGGACCCAGCACUGAGGAUGCAAGAAGCAGGAUUCAGUGUUGCUGGGAAACGCUGGGCUUUGGACCAGAGACCGCCUCCCAACUCACGGCAGGCUGCUGACCCAUUAACCUGUAAAAUCUCAAUAGAACAUUUUCCUAGUUCACGUUUCCAUUCGCUGCCCUUGCAGCAGCAGCCAAACGCCCUCCUCCAAUCUGGUUUGAGGCACUGUGAAUAAGUGACCAUCAGUCCAUUAGAUCUGAUCACUCAAUAUGUUGGGGGGGGGGGUUGUGCUGAAAUGCAGGAACAUACUGAGAGCUGUGCAUAGCAGACCUCUGAGAUGCACUGUACAGAUCCAUCUGGAAGACUUUCACAGUGCAUCUUUCUUGUAUAAUAAUAAUAUCUUUCCGUAGCUGAAGAGAAUAAUGUGUGCCUGUUGGUUUUGUGUUUGUGGUGGAAGUUUUGUUGCAUCAGUAAAGAUGGAGUGCUUCAAUCACACAACAGGAUGUGGCAGCCAGGGUUUCCACAGUCAGAUAAAGGGGUCAAUGUUAUGUGUCUGACUAAUAAAACUUACAAUGUGCUUUCUGCAAACUAAAUAAUAGGUGUUUUUCUUACUGUAUUUGAGUCUCUUGUUGUUUUGUUCAAAUAUAUAUUGCAAACGAACUGCUCUGUCGAUGUAUUUAUUUAUCUGUGCUUCACAGUCUGUGCAGCAUGGGAAGUCAAUGUAUUCUUCUCUGUCCCAAAGGGUUUGUUCAACAGCUGUAUAUGAAACCAGCCCCACAAAUAGAGGGGGUGUUGGUAAACAAUGUUGUUACUGGGGCACCUGCAUGUUGGAUUUGACCUAUUCUCUCGCACAUGUUGCCUUAUCGAUAAUGCAUACUUGUGUAAUGCGAUCAUUAUCUUUUCAGUUCUGUGUUUUGAGAAGCAAGUAAUGUAAACCGGCUAAGAAAACGCGUGUGUGUCGUUGGAGAGCGUGAAUAAACGUGUGUUAAACCCC